This 333-nucleotide ribosomal RNA is filed under the name Triticum aestivum (bread wheat). Its description in RNAcentral is "partial small subunit ribosomal RNA". Lineage: Eukaryota; Viridiplantae; Streptophyta; Magnoliopsida; Poales; Poaceae. The record is from RNAcentral.
AUGCAUGUAUCGAUUGGAAUUAACCUUGCUUCGUUCGGCACGAGGGCCAGGGUAAUUGGGCCUAUCUCCGUACUCUCACUCCAUCAGGCUAUGUUUGGCUGGAUGGGCGAGAAUAUUUGGCCAGCUUUCGAACCAAGAUUAUUAAGGGCUAACCCAGUUUUAUGUUGCAACUUGGGUGCCAGCUCAACUGGUUGUUGUUGUAGUGUAAGAACGGAAGGUUGUAAGUUCGAAUCUCAGGACAAAAUUACUUUUUGCUAUUAUAGAAUAGAUGACGGGUUAAUUAACAGAAUUAUUUUUCGCAGGUAUAUAUAUAAUAGAUGGCAGCUUAAUUAA